GGCUCAUACGGGGGGCAGCAGUGAGGAAUAUUGGUCAAUGGCCGGAAGGCUGAACCAGCCAAGCCGCGUGAGGGAGGAAGGCGCAGAGCGUCGCGGACCUCUUUUGCCGGGGGACAAAAGGCCGGACUCGUCCGGUCCUGAGGGUACCCGGAGAAAAAGCAUCGGCUAACUCCGUGCCAGCAGCCGCGGUAAUACGGAGGAUGCGAGCGUUAUCCGGAUUUAUUGGGUUUAAAGGGAGCGUAGGCCGGCUUUUAAGUCAGCCGUGAAAGUCCGCGGCUCAACCGUGGAAUUGCAGUUGAAACUGG
RNAcentral lists this ribosomal RNA (305 nucleotides) under uncultured bacterium. RNAcentral describes it as "bacterial SSU rRNA". It matches the Rfam family "Bacterial small subunit ribosomal RNA", at positions 334 to 636 of the family's 1533-position model. The record is from RNAcentral.